Molecule: ribosomal RNA, 2899 nt
Filed under: Klebsiella pneumoniae
Lineage: Bacteria; Pseudomonadati; Pseudomonadota; Gammaproteobacteria; Enterobacterales; Enterobacteriaceae
Description: bacterial LSU rRNA
Rfam family: Bacterial large subunit ribosomal RNA
Source: RNAcentral
UUAAGCGACUAAGCGUACACGGUGGAUGCCCUGGCAGUCAGAGGCGAUGAAGGACGUGCUAAUCUGCGAAAAGCGUCGGUAAGGUGAUAUGAACCGUUAUAACCGGCGAUGUCCGAAUGGGGAAACCCAGUGCAAUUCGUUGCACUAUCGUUAACUGAAUACAUAGGUUAACGAGGCGAACCGGGGGAACUGAAACAUCUAAGUACCCCGAGGAAAAGAAAUCAACCGAGAUUCCCCCAGUAGCGGCGAGCGAACGGGGAGCAGCCCAGAGUCUGAAUCAGCUUGUGUGUUAGUGGAACGGUCUGGAAAGUCCGACGGUACAGGGUGAUAGUCCCGUACACCAAAAUGCACAGGCUGUGAACUCGAAGAGUAGGGCGGGACACGUGGUAUCCUGUCUGAAUAUGGGGGGACCAUCCUCCAAGGCUAAAUACUCCUGACUGACCGAUAGUGAACCAGUACCGUGAGGGAAAGGCGAAAAGAACCCCGGCGAGGGGAGUGAAAAAGAACCUGAAACCGUGUACGUACAAGCAGUGGGAGCACCUUCGGUGUGACUGCGUACCUUUUGUAUAAUGGGUCAGCGACUUAUAUUCUGUAGCAAGGUUAACCGUAUAGGGGAGCCGCAGGGAAACCGAGUCUUAACUGGGCGUUAAGUUGCAGGGUAUAGACCCGAAACCCGGUGAUCUAGCCAUGGGCAGGUUGAAGGUUGGGUAACACUAACUGGAGGACCGAACCGACUAAUGUUGAAAAAUUAGCGGAUGACUUGUGGCUGGGGGUGAAAGGCCAAUCAAACCGGGAGAUAGCUGGUUCUCCCCGAAAGCUAUUUAGGUAGCGCCUCGUGAACUCAUCUUCGGGGGUAGAGCACUGUUUCGGCUAGGGGGUCAUCCCGACUUACCAACCCGAUGCAAACUACGAAUACCGAAGAAUGUUAUCACGGGAGACACACGGCGGGUGCUAACGUCCGUCGUGAAGAGGGAAACAACCCAGACCGCCAGCUAAGGUCCCAAAGUCAUGGUUAAGUGGGAAACGAUGUGGGAAGGCACAGACAGCCAGGAUGUUGGCUUAGAAGCAGCCAUCAUUUAAAGAAAGCGUAAUAGCUCACUGGUCGAGUCGGCCUGCGCGGAAGAUGUAACGGGGCUAAACCAUGCACCGAAGCUGCGGCAGCGACACUAUGUGUUGUUGGGUAGGGGAGCGUUCUGUAAGCCUGCGAAGGUGUGCUGUGAGGCAUGCUGGAGGUAUCAGAAGUGCGAAUGCUGACAUAAGUAACGAUAAAGCGGGUGAAAAGCCCGCUCGCCGGAAGACCAAGGGUUCCUGUCCAACGUUAAUCGGGGCAGGGUGAGUCGACCCCUAAGGCGAGGCCGAAAGGCGUAGUCGAUGGGAAACAGGUUAAUAUUCCUGUACUUGGUGUUACUGCGAAGGGGGGACGGAGAAGGCUAUGUUAGCCGGGCGACGGUUGUCCCGGUUUAAGCAUGUAGGCUGGUUGUCCAGGCAAAUCCGGAUAAUCAAGGCUGAGGUGUGAUGACGAGGCACUACGGUGCUGAAGUAACAAAUGCCCUGCUUCCAGGAAAAGCCUCUAAGCAUCAGGUAACAUCAAAUCGUACCCCAAACCGACACAGGUGGUCAGGUAGAGAAUACCAAGGCGCUUGAGAGAACUCGGGUGAAGGAACUAGGCAAAAUGGUGCCGUAACUUCGGGAGAAGGCACGCUGGUGUGUAGGUGAAGCCCCUGCGGGUGGAGCUGAGACCAGUCGAAGAUACCAGCUGGCUGCAACUGUUUAUUAAAAACACAGCACUGUGCAAACACGAAAGUGGACGUAUACGGUGUGACGCCUGCCCGGUGCCGGAAGGUUAAUUGAUGGGGUUAUCCGUAAGGAGAAGCUCUUGAUCGAAGCCCCGGUAAACGGCGGCCGUAACUAUAACGGUCCUAAGGUAGCGAAAUUCCUUGUCGGGUAAGUUCCGACCUGCACGAAUGGCGUAAUGAUGGCCAGGCUGUCUCCACCCGAGACUCAGUGAAAUUGAACUCGCUGUGAAGAUGCAGUGUACCCGCGGCAAGACGGAAAGACCCCGUGAACCUUUACUAUAGCUUGACACUGAACAUUGAGCCUUGAUGUGUAGGAUAGGUGGGAGGCUUUGAAGCGUGGACGCCAGUCUGCGUGGAGCCAACCUUGAAAUACCACCCUUUAAUGUUUGAUGUUCUAACGUUGGCCCCUUACCGGGGUUGCGGACAGUGUCUGGUGGGUAGUUUGACUGGGGCGGUCUCCUCCCAAAGCGUAACGGAGGAGCACGAAGGUUAGCUAAUCCUGGUCGGACAUCAGGAGGUUAGUGCAAUGGCAUAAGCUAGCUUGACUGCGAGCGUGACGGCGCGAGCAGGUGCGAAAGCAGGUCAUAGUGAUCCGGUGGUUCUGAAUGGAAGGGCCAUCGCUCAACGGAUAAAAGGUACUCCGGGGAUAACAGGCUGAUACCGCCCAAGAGUUCAUAUCGACGGCGGUGUUUGGCACCUCGAUGUCGGCUCAUCACAUCCUGGGGCUGAAGUAGGUCCCAAGGGUAUGGCUGUUCGCCAUUUAAAGUGGUACGCGAGCUGGGUUUAGAACGUCGUGAGACAGUUCGGUCCCUAUCUGCCGUGGGCGCUGGAGAAUUGAGGGGGGCUGCUCCUAGUACGAGAGGACCGGAGUGGACGCAUCACUGGUGUUCGGGUUGUCAUGCCAAUGGCACUGCCCGGUAGCUAAAUGCGGAAGAGAUAAGUGCUGAAAGCAUCUAAGCACGAAACUUGCCCCGAGAUGAGUUCUCCCUGAGACUUUAAGUCUCCUGAAGGAACGUUAAAGACGAUGACGUUGAUAGGCCGGGUGUGUAAGCGCAGCGAUGCGUUGAGCUAACCGGUACUAAUGAACCGUGAGGCUUAACCUU